This 407-nucleotide long non-coding RNA is filed under the name Callithrix jacchus (white-tufted-ear marmoset). RNAcentral's name for it is "lncRNA (ENSCJAG00000084831.1)". The record is from RNAcentral. Lineage: Eukaryota; Metazoa; Chordata; Mammalia; Primates; Cebidae.
AGAAGGUGAACCAGGUCGGACGAGGGCGCGAUGGCGCGGGCUGCAGGCAGCUGAUUGAACCUGUUACUACUAUCAGAUGUGCUUCCCCAUCUCUGGUAAUUUCCUUUGUUCUGAAGCCAUUUUAUCUGAGGUUAAUAUCACCACUUCUGUUUUUUAUGAUUAAUGUUGCCAUGAUAUAUUUUUUCCUACACUUUUUCUUUCAACCUGCCUGUGUCAUUACAUUUGAAAUGAGUUUUUUGUAGACAGAAUAUAGUUGGGUCAUAUUUUGUAGUCCACUGUCCCACUCUCAUCACUGUCUUUUAAUUGGUGUAGACAAUUUACAUUUAAUGUAAUUAUUAAUAUGAUGUAGCUUAAAUAUGACUUUUUUUGUUUGUUUACUCAGUUUUUUUGGUGUAUCUAUUUUCUUU